RNAcentral lists this ribosomal RNA (301 nucleotides) under uncultured bacterium. Its description in RNAcentral is "partial 16S ribosomal RNA". It matches the Rfam family "Bacterial small subunit ribosomal RNA", at positions 509 to 807 of the family's 1533-position model. The record is from RNAcentral.
CAGUCGCCGCGGGAAUACGUAGGGUGCGAGCGUUAAUCGGAAUUACUGGGCGUAAAGCGUGCGCAGGCGGUUGUGUAAGACAGGUGUGAAAUCCCCGGGCUUAACCUGGGAACUGCGCUUGUGACUGCACAGCUAGAGUAUGGCAGAGGGGGGUGGAAUUCCACGUGUAGCAGUGAAAUGCGUAGAGAUGUGGAGGAACACCGAUGGCGAAGGCAGCCCCCUGGGCCAAUACUGACGCUCAUGCACGAAAGCGUGGGGAGCAAACAGGAUUAGAUACCCGUGUAGUCCCUGUCUCUUAUAC